GAGUUUGAUCUUGGCUCAGGAUGAACGCUAGCUACAGGCUUAACACAUGCAAGUCGAGCGAAGCACUUUUGCGGAUUUCUUCGGAUUGAAGCAACUGUGACUGAGCGGCGGACGGGUGAGUAACGCGUGGGUAACCUGCCUCAUACAGGGGGAUAACAGUUGGAAACGGCUGCUAAUACCGCAUAAGCGCACAGUACCGCAUGGUACGGUGUGAAAAACUCCGGUGGUAUGAGAUGGACCCCGCGUCU
RNAcentral lists this ribosomal RNA (248 nucleotides) under uncultured bacterium. Its description in RNAcentral is "partial 16S ribosomal RNA". It matches the Rfam family "Bacterial small subunit ribosomal RNA", at positions 9 to 238 of the family's 1533-position model. The record is from RNAcentral.